Molecule: long non-coding RNA, 2184 nt
Filed under: Mytilus galloprovincialis (Mediterranean mussel)
Lineage: Eukaryota; Metazoa; Mollusca; Bivalvia; Mytilida; Mytilidae
Source: RNAcentral
GUCUAGAUAAGUGGACUGUGCAUAGAAAAUAUGGUUCAACCCUCCACAUUUUGUGCCUGUACCCAGACCAUGUGUUGUUAGUUGUUGAAUUUGUUUGUUUAUUUACUCUGAGUAGUCUGGUAUUAGUGGUAGGUGUGGUUUGUCUAUUUACUCGAAGUAGUCAGGUGUUUGUGGUUGGUGUGGUUUGUCUAUUUACUCGGGGAGUCAGGUGUUUGUGGUUGGUGUGGUUUGUCUAUUUACUCGAAGUAGUCAGGUGUUUGUGGUUGGUGUGGUUUGUCUAUUUACUCGGGGAGUCAGGUGUUUGUGGUUGGUGUGGUUUGUCUAUUUACUCGGAGCAGUCAGGUGUUUGUGGUUAGUGUGGUUUGUCUAUUUACUCAGAGUAGUCAGGUAUUGUGGUUGGUGUGGUUUGUCUAUUUACUCGAAGAGUCAAGUGUUUAUGGUUGGUGUGGUUUGUUUAUUUACUCGGAGUAGUCAGGUAUUUUGUGGUUGGUGUGGUUUGUCUAUUUACUCGAAGUAGUCAGGUGUCUGUGGUUGGUGAGGUUUGUCUAUUUACUCGGAGUAGUCAGGUAUUUGUGGUUGGUGUGGUUUGUCUAUUUACUCAGAGUAGUCAGGUGUUUGUGGUUGGUGUGGUUUGUCUAUUUACUCGGAGUAGUCAGGUGUUUGUGGUUGGUGUGGUUUGUCUAUUUACUCGGGUAGUCAGGUGUUUGUGGUUGGUGUGGUUUGUCUAUUUACUCGAAGUAGUCAGGUGUUUGUGGUUGGUGUGGUUUGUCUAUUUACUCAAAGUAGUCAGGUGUUUGUAGUUGGUGUGGUUUGUCUAUUUACUCAGAGUAGUCAGGUGUUUGUGGUUUGUCUAUUUCCUCAAAGAAGUCAGGUAUUUGUGGCUGGUGUGGUUUGUCUAUUUACUCGAAGUAGUCAGGUGUUUAUGGUUGGUCUGGUUUGUCUAUUUACUCGAAGUAGUCAGGUAUUUGUGGUUGGUGUGGUUUGUCUAUUUACUCCGAGUAGUCAGGUAUUUGUGGUUGGUGUGGUUUGUCUAUUUACUCUGAGCAGUUAGGUGUUUGUGGUUGGUCUGGUUUGUCUAUUUACUCGAAGUAGUCAGGUAUUUGUGGCUGGUGUGGUUUGUUUAUUUACUCGAAGUAGUCAGGUGUUUGUGGUUGGUCUGGUUUGUUGUAAUAUCCUAUAUUUAGGCAUUCCUGAUACCCACUAAUGAAUUAUCAAAAUUAUGACAAUUUCAAGAAAGUCAAACUCAUUUUGAGUGUUGAUUUUAUUAAUGUUGGAAAGUAGUAACUAGUUUACACCGUUGUAUUUUGAUUACAUAUAUGUUUUACAUUCAGUGUUGUGCUUUGAUUACAGGUAUGUUUUACAUUCAGUGUUGUGCUUUGAUUACAUAUAUGUUUUACAUUCAGUGUUGUGCUUUGAUUACAGGUAUGUUUUACAUUCAGUGUUGUGUAAACAUUGUUAUUUUUUAAGUAUCUUAUAGUUGGGUGUUUUAUUCUGUUUAUACAUGUUUUUACUGUCAUGUUUUGAAGUGACUGUUAGUCAUGUGUUUUAUUCUGCUUAUGUUCUUACUGUCAUGUUUUAAAGUGACUUAUAGUUGUGUGUUUUAUUCUGCUGAUGUUCUUACUGUCAUGUUUUAAAGUGACUUAUAGUUGUGUUUUAUUCCGCUGAUGUUCUUACUGUCAUGUUUUAAAGUGAAUUAUAGUUGUGUGUUUUAUUUGGUUAAUGUUCUAUCUAUCAAGUUUUGAAGUGACUAACAGGUGUGUUUUGUUGUUUAAGUUCUUGCUCUUGUGUUUUGAAGUGACUAACAGGUGUGUUUUGUUGUUUAAGUUCUUGCUCUUGUGUUUUGAAGUGACUUAUAGUUGUGUGUUUAUUCUGUUAAAAUUUUUACUGUCAGGUUUUGAAGUAACAUGCAAUUGUAUUUCAUUCUGUUACAAUUUGCUGUAUUUUGAAGUAACAUGCAGUUAUGUGAUUUAUAUUGCUCAAGUAAGAUCUGUUAUGGUCUGAAGUUAUCUAUAGUUGUAUGUUUUUUACUGCACAUAAUUUAUUUGCUCUAGUACUAAUUUGGAUGAAACUACUGUACCUGAUGAGACUAUUUUACUUACAUCUUGAUAAUCAAUGUCUGCUUUAUUCUCUAGGCAUAUUUUCACAUCUUCUUUAUCUCCCUUCCUAGCAGCUGUUAAAAGUUUC